AUUGAACGCUGGCGGCAGGCCUAACACAUGCAAGUCGCACGAGUGGCAGACGGGUGAGUAAUGUCUGGGAAACUGCCUGAUGGAGGGGGAUAACUACGGGAAACGGUAGCUAAUCCCGCAUACCCUCGGAUGUGCCCAGAUUGGAUUAGCUUGUUGGUGGGGUAACGGCGCACCAAGGCGCCGAUCCCUAGCUGGUCUGAGAGGUUGACCAGCCACACUGUAACUGAGACACGGUCCAGACGCCUACGGGAGGCAGCAGUGGGGAAUAUUGCACAAUGGGCGCAAGCCUGAUGCAGCCAUGCCGCGUGUAUGAAGAAGGCCUUCGGGUUGUAAAGUACUUUCAGCGGGGAGGCGUUACCCGCAGAAGAAGCACCGGCUAACUCCGUGCCAGCAGCCGCGGUAAUAC
This 406-nucleotide ribosomal RNA is filed under the name uncultured bacterium. Its description in RNAcentral is "partial 16S ribosomal RNA". It matches the Rfam family "Bacterial small subunit ribosomal RNA", at positions 30 to 526 of the family's 1533-position model. The record is from RNAcentral.